AGUGAACGCUGGCGGUAGGCCUAACACAUGCAAGUCGAACGGCAGCACAGUAAGAGCUUGCUCUUACGGGUGGCGAGUGGCGGACGGGUGAGGAAUACAUCGGAAUCUACUUUUUCGUGGGGGAUAACGUAGGGAAACUUACGCUAAUACCGCAUACGACCUACGGGUGAAAGCAGGGGAUCUUCGGACCUUGCGCGAUUGAAUGAGCCGAUGUCGGAUUAGCCAGUUGGCGGGGUAAAGGCCCACCAAGGCGACGAUCCGUAGCUGGUCUGAGAGGAUGAUCAGCCACACUGGAACUGAGACACGGUCCAGACUCCUACGGGAGGCAGCAGUGGGGAAUAUUGGACAAUGGGCGCAAGCCUGAUCCAGCCAUACCGCGUGGGUGAAGAAGGCCUUCGGGUUGUAAAGCCCUUUUGUUGGGAAAGAAAAGCAGCAGGUUAAUACCCCGCUGUUCUGACGGUACCCAAAGAAUAAGCACCGGCUAACUUCGU
Molecule: ribosomal RNA, 491 nt
Filed under: uncultured bacterium
Lineage: Bacteria
Description: partial 16S ribosomal RNA
Rfam family: Bacterial small subunit ribosomal RNA
Source: RNAcentral